RNAcentral lists this ribosomal RNA (484 nucleotides) under uncultured bacterium. RNAcentral's name for it is "partial 16S ribosomal RNA". It matches the Rfam family "Bacterial small subunit ribosomal RNA", at positions 30 to 507 of the family's 1533-position model. The record is from RNAcentral.
AUUGAACGCUGGCGGCAGGCCUAACACAUGCAAGUCGAGCGGAUGAAGGGAGCUUGCUCCUGGAUUCAGCGGCGGACGGGUGAGUAAUGCCUAGGAAUCUGCCUGGUAGUGGGGGAUAACGUCCGGAAACGGGCGCUAAUACCGCAUACGUCCUGAGGGAGAAAGUGGGGGAUCUUCGGACCUCACGCUAUCAGAUGAGCCUAGGUCGGAUUAGCUAGUUGGUGGGGUAAAGGCCUACCAAGGCGACGAUCCGUAACUGGUCUGAGAGGAUGAUCAGUCACACUGGAACCGAGACACGGUCCAGACUCCUACGGGAGGCAGCAGCGGGGAAUAUUGGACAAUGGGCGAAAGCCUGAUCCAGCCAUGCCGCGUGUGUGAAGAAGGUCUUCGGAUUGUAAAGCACUUUAAGUUGGGAGGAAGGGCAGUAAGUUAAUACCUUGCUGUUUUGACGUUACCAACAGAAUAAGCACCGGCUAACUUCGUG